RNAcentral lists this long non-coding RNA (10915 nucleotides) under Daucus carota (carrot). RNAcentral describes it as "long non-coding RNA (DCAR_LNC005803)". The record is from RNAcentral. Lineage: Eukaryota; Viridiplantae; Streptophyta; Magnoliopsida; Apiales; Apiaceae.
AAGCACAUAAGCAACUAUAUAUAUAUAUUCAAAGCUUCACUACCAUAAAAUCCACAGCAUGCAGAUGAAAAAGGAGAAGCAAGUACUUUUACCUAUCCAUCUAAACAUAAUAACUUUUAGCAACCAACAAAUCCAUCCAUUAUACCUAGAACCUAAACUUACAAAGCAGGGUGUACUUCGUACUCAAUGAUAAGGCAUUAGACUAAUUCACUUGCCCUCUACAUGCACAAUUUACAAAACAAACAAGUUGGUCCAGUUAUGUUAUGGCCAGAUUUGGCCCUGGUAAUCUUAUAGAAGGCGCGCCCUUUUCGGAGGUAAUUCCGAGGGCGCGGCCUCCUGGCAGGGGGGAGCAUGUCAGUGGAGUAUCUUGAAUAGCCAUGGGAAGAAGACCAAGGGCGCGCCCUUGGCGGGGUGAUCCCGUGGGCGCGGCCUUCGGAUAUUAGAAGACAUGUCUGACCUGUUGAGACGACUCAUGGGACAAGACAUCGAAGAUGAAGGGCGCGCCCUCAGGGGUCGCGCCCACAUGUGGACGCAUUGAAUGAGAGGGCGUACCCCUUGGAGGUGUAACCUCUAUGAGAGGGCGUAGCCCUCGGAAGGCUUGGCCUAUGUGAUAGGGCGCGGCCCUCGGAGGUGUGACCUCUUUGAGAGGGCGUACCCCUUGGAGGUGUAACCUCUAUGGGAGGUGUGACCUCUAUGAGAGGCUUGAACUCAAUGAGAGGGCGUAGCCUUUGGAGGUGUAACCUCUAUGAGAGGCUUGACCAUAUUUGGCCACAUUUGGUCACGUGAAUUGGGAGAGGGCGCGCCCUCCGCGGGUAAUCCGGGAGGCGCGGCCCUUUGUCUCAAGAGCACGAUGUCACGUGUCUGAAGUGUGAAGAGAAUGAGGAACAAGGAUCAAGGGCGCGCCCUCCGUGGUCGCGCCCACAGGUGAUGAAUAUGUGUGAGGUUGAGUGAGUCUCGACGACGACCCUUCCGAGGGAUACGAAGACCUACCCUUCCGAGGGAUAUGAAGACUAGUGCCAGAGCUCAUCUGGUAGUUAUCAGGCUCAUCUGGUAGUUCCCGGGUUACGUCCGGGCAUGAUCUAUAAUCCCCAGUCCUGCUAUCUGCCGGGUUGUCCUCGUGCGGGGGCCUGGGGUGAUCAUGGUUGUAGAAGGCCCUCAGGGGUAACACGAAGGCCGAUCAUAUGUCCGGGUCCUGUAUUCUGGUGAGUUAGUCCUCAUUGGGGGACUGGGACGAUCGUGUAACUUGGCUCCUCAUUGGCCUUACCUCUUAGUGAGAACCUUCACUAGGGGGUAAGGGCGCGUCCCUACACCACAAGGAAUUGGUCACGGCUCUACCAGACGUCUCCUCCAUGCUACGAAAAGUAGCGGUUAGUGUCAUCUCUCGUAGUGGAGAUGAUGCCGUAUCCGUGAUGUACUUGGACUAGGAGUCUGAGGUAGUUGGCCUCAAGGCUUAAUUCUAACUGGAGUAGGACUCUGAAGGCGUUGGACGUCUAAGAGAUAAGUCACCACCUCAGGGUUGGUCUUAUCCCCAAGAGGCCUAGUCCUGAUCAAACUAGGAGUCCUGGUUCAAUAGAACUACGUAUGGCUUGAUCCCCUAUAAAUAUAGGGGUACGUAGGCACAUUGGGGGAUCAUGAGUUGAGAGCACGUGAGACCAACUCAAAACCCUAAUCUCAGCCACCCCCUAAAACAAACAACCACCACUCUCCGGCGACCAAAACCACCGUCACGGAUCUUGAUUCCGGCCAUGAACCUCAUCUUUGUUGAUUACCAAAUUCCUCUAUCAACAAAUUGGCGCUAGAAGGAGGGGCUAUUCAAGAUCUUCAUCUUAGGAGGAAGAGAUGUCACACGACGGAGAUUCGCACGUAGAGGAGGAGCGUUUUCCGGCAGGGCGAUGGCUAGAGCACAAAAGAGGAGGAGACCUUCAUCUACUUUUUCAGGAAAAGGACGAUAUCUCCAUCGGGAGUUUGAAGGAGGACGAUCAUCAACGAAAUUCUAGGAGGUAACCUAAUUUGCGAUCAGGGUUUUCUGGACCGGGGAGUCAGCGAAGGAUGUGAUUUUCGGAGACCUGACACCUACGAAGAGGGUACGCCUCCCCCGGACAGAAGAACCUAGGUGGAGGGAGUAUGGACUUUUCCAAGCUUAUACGGUGGGUUGGAAGUCGAGAAAUGAAGCGAAAAGAAAGAAAAUCACGAGCGCCCUAGAGCGCCCUGGUAGCGCCCGGGGUCUGCCCAUGUGGAGCGCCCGCGCCCUGGAGCGGCGCGCCCGCGCCCUGGGUGCGCCCUGGUAGCGCGCCCGCGCUACCCCGAUUGUGGAAAGUUUCGUUUUUUAGGUCCGUUUGGAUUAGCUGCUGGCCCGGUCAACUUAGGGCACUUAAAUAUGAAUUAAAGGAAGAAAAAGCCCUAAACACCUCCCCCGGAUAGAGUACACCUCCCCUGGACAGGGUACACCUCCCCCUGACAGGGUACGCCUCCAAGUGAUGUGGUGCUCAAUUACCACCGUGAGGAACGAAUUCCCUAACACCUUCGAAGAAGGCGCACCUCCGGGUAAUACGGUGUUACCUUUAUGAGGAGUACACCUCUUUGCCGUGAGGAGUAGUCGCAUUUUCCUCCAACAAGACAAACAUACUCAGGAAGGAGCUCACUAGUCUUGAAGAGGUCACGUCCCUCCCUAGGGCGCGCCCUCUCGGAAGUACUCAUCACUUGAGGAAGCGCAUAAGGGCGCGCCCCCAGGAUAAUAAGGUUGAGAAGGGAGAUGCUUCAAAGACGCGCCUCCUUCUAGUUGGACGCACCCCGAGUUCCAAAGUCAUGUUUCCAGGGUUGAUAAUUCGGGAGGACACGCCUUCCCCCUAACAGGGCACGUCAUGAGGUAACACUGACCGCCAUUAUUAAGUGGUAUACAUGAUUGAGUGCAGGUCAAGUCCGACAUGCUAAAGGAGCUGUCCAUCUUGAUGAGAGCGCGUCCUCCGUUCAUCAUGAACGUAGCAUGAUACCUACAAGGUCUUUGACCAUGAUACACUUAAGGCCUUUCAAAAGUUGCCUAAUUAUCAAUGACCAGCUCUGGGUGCUAUGAAUUUUAACCAUCCAUGAUACGCUCUGGGCACUAUAUUUGCGCGCUCUGGAUCUUACAUAUCCAUGAUAUGCUCUGGGUAACGCUUUAUACUAUUGAUUCCCCAUUAAGCUAUGAGCUCUGGGACCCGUGCGAUGCACCGGAGUUAUAUAAACCACGAUAAGAUUCGUGAUGCCCCAUAGUGGGAUGAUGUAUGGACGUGGGGAGUGGUCCUUUUGUAUUUUCUUAAGCAAGUGAUUCACGCGUAGAAAAAGUAAGGCUGCGACCAAAGGCCGCGCCCUCUGCUUAAUCCUUAGGAAAAGAUACAAAAGACGCCCACAUUACCAGUAAGGCUGCGCCGUAGGCUGCCGAGGGGUCGCGCCCACAUGUGGACGCAUUGAAUGAGAGGGCGUACCCCUUGGAGGUGUAACCUCUAUGAGAGGGCGUAGCCCUCGGAAGGCUUGGCCUAUGUGAUAGGGCGCGGCCCUCGGAGGUGUGACCUCUUUGAGAGGGCGUACCCCUUGGAGGUGUAACCUCUAUGGGAGGUGUGACCUCUAUGAGAGGCUUGAACUCAAUGAGAGGGCGUAGCCUUUGGAGGUGUAACCUCUAUGAGAGGCUUGACCAUAUUUGGCCACAUUUGGCCACGUGAAUUGGGAGAGGGCGCGCCCUCCGCGGGUAAUCCGGGAGGCGCGGCCCUUUGUCUCAAGAGCACGAUGUCACGUGUCUGAAGUGUGAAGAGAAUGAGGAACAAGGGUCAAGGGCGCGCCCUCCGUGGUCGCGCCCACAGGUGAUGAAUAUGUGUGAGGUUGAGUGAGUCUCGAUGACGACCCUUCCGAGGGAUACGAAGACUUACCCUUCCGAGGGAUAUGAAGACUAGUGCCAGAGCUCAUCUGGUAGUUAUCAGGCUCAUCUGGUAGUUCCCGGGUUACGUCCGGGCGUGAUCUAUAAUCCCCAGUCCUGCUAUCUGCCGGGUUGUCCUCGUGCGGGGGCCUGGGGUGAUCAUGGUUGUAGAAGGCCCUCAGGGGUAACACGAAGGCCGAUCAUAUGUCCGGGUCCUGUAUUCUGGUGAGUUAGUCCUCAUUGGGGGACUGGGACGAUCGUGUAACUUGGCUCCUCAAUUGUCUUAUCUCUUAGUGAGAACCUUCACUAGGGGGUAAGGACGCGUCCCUACGCCUCAUGGAAGUGGUCACGACUCUGUCCGAUGUCUCCUCCAUGUUACGAAGAGUAGCGGUUAGUGUCACCUCUCGUAGUGGAGAUGAUGCCGUAUCCGUGAUGUACUUGGACUAGGAUUCUAAGGUAGUUGUCUCAAGGCUUACUUCUAACUGGAGUAGAACUCUAAGUGAUAAGUCUCCGACCCACGGUUGGUCUUAUCCCCAAGAGGCCUAGUCCUGAUCAAACUAGGAGUCUUGGUUCUAUAGAACUACGUACGGCUUGAUCCCCUAUAUAAAGGGGUACGUAGGCACAUCAAGGGGAUAUAUCGAGAGUUGUGAGAACGAGAGCAGAAAUAUAUUCCCUUGAUCUCAGCCACCCUCAAACAAACAACCACCACUCUCCGGCGACCAAAACCACCGUCACGGAUCUUGAUUCCGGCCAUGAACCUCAUCUUUGUUGAUUACCAAAUUCCUCUAUCAACAAGUUAUAAACACAUUUGCCACAAUUCUGCCCGACUCUUCCUUUCCCUUAAAUGACCCUGCAAAAGAUUGCCAAUGUCAGUCUAAUAAGCACUUGAUAACAUUUGUGAACUGUAGCAAAGUUCUUUAGAGAACCAUAUUUCACCUAGGCAUUGCAUUAUAUUACUAAAAGAUGAAACAUAAAUAAUUGUGGCUCUUUCAUUGGCAGAAAUAGCGGCUUCUUUAAGUAGAAGUCCAGUUGAGAAGCUCAAUCACCGUAUGGGAAAAAAAGCAUACCACUCUUUAUGGGUUUUAGAAACCAGAAUUGAGAAGCUUGAAGUUGUAGCUUUUUUUCUUAUGCUUCUCACCUUUUUGACCUGCUGUUCUGCAUUAAUAUGCCCACACUCUCUUUCUGUUUAUUUUAUCCAGCUUUAACUUGUUAUUCUAAUUGCUUUAGUUUUAGUUUCAUUAGUUGGAAAACGAUAAAUGUAUUGCACUAGCAAGAAACAGUAUCAUGUGAAUUGUGUCUCUGGCCCCUGUUGGUUCUUAUGUAAUUGCAUUUUAAGCGAGUUUCUUAGCAAGUUUAUCUAUUAUCAAUCCAAAUUCUUUUAAAAAUAAUAUUAUAAUGUACCAAACACUGCACGAACUUAUAAGUCAAAUUAUCCAAACAAUAAAAGAAACUUAUAAGUUCAAGUAACCAAACACUUAAAUUAAUGUAUGACAAAUUAACAAUGAGAUGAGAAUAGUAUUAUUAUUGUUAUACACACGCACUAACAAAAUCUCCUUUACAAGUCCUAAACAAUGAGUAGAAUACAAUACAAGAUGAAAAUCUUACAAAUAUUCCUCUAUUGGAUAAAUUGAAUUUCCUUUUCUUAGUUAGACUAGCUGGUAAAAGCAAAAAUAUAAUAACAAUAAUCAAAAAAAUUCUGCAAGAUAACGGUAACAUGGUAGAUCCACAAAAAAACCAGGGUGAUGGAUCCAUACAUCACACGUACUAGAGUGUCUGAUAUACUAUAAAUGCCGAUAUCACAGAGGAUACUAAAUCUUCAACAUUUUUCCUGUUUUAGGAUUUAGAACACAAUGAGAAUAUAUUGGGAUGACAGUAUUAUGUUUAUAAUUACUGCAGGGCCUGAUAAAGGAACAAUGUAUGUAAGUUAACACAUUAGAAUGGGAGCACAGAUAUCACUGAGACAAUGACAUUGAUGAAAGUUCUGAUUUAUAUUACAGGGGGGAAAGUAUUCUAGUGACAAGCACAUUGUAACGGACAAGUCAAAGUGUCCAAGCUACACGCAAUCUAGCUAAGAUAUUGAAAUGAAAGAUGCCAAGGGGAUCAAGCAUUGAAUCCUAAUAACGCAAACAGGGUAGGAGCAUAUUAACAAUGUUUGUCGAAAAUAUUGAGUAAACACAAGGCAACCAUCUGUGAUUCUAUUUUUAAGUAUGCUAAUAAUCAGAUACUCAAAAACUACUAUUAAUAACUAAGACUAGAGAGCAAAGAGGGUGUUGAUAUAUGUCUAAGAAGUUGGAAAGUGCCUAUAUACUGCAACUAGUCUGCAAGUAAUGGUAAUAACUAUAUAUGUAAGUACGUCGUCCAUCAACUCUAACUUGAUCCACAAACUUAAGUUAGCCAAGUGAGAUUACAGGAGCAGAGAUAUCACUUAUCCAAACAAUGUAUGUAAGUUCACUUGUUUAAAUAAUUAGAGUGAAUUAGGAAGUAUAUAUACAAUGAAACUACACUUGCCAAAAAAAAUAAACUCGAAAAAUAAACAAACAAUAAUUCUACGAAAUGGAGCAUUCUUACACAAUAUUAGAGUUACUUACGACUUCAUUCUUGUGAUUGAAACCCCUCAAGGGAAACAAGGCUCUGAGUGAACUUGGCAACUGACUUGACAUCGGUGAGAUGAGCUGGGAAAGGAAGCUUCUUAGUCGUUUUCUUUGUGUAGUUGUAAAAUUUGUAUCCAAAAACAAAAUUGAGUCCAAGAAAGUGUUGAGCGCCCAAAUAAAGAUACGUCCGAUCCAACUCCAAAUCCAUUUCAAGAUUGAACUUUUUAAUCCACAAGCCAUCAUCAUCUAACAUCCAAAGACUCAUAACUGAUUCAUCCCCAGCAGAUUCAUAUACCAUAGCCACAGAACCUUCAAAAUCCAAAAUCUUAGACUUCUUUAUCCUUUUCUGUUCCACGUAAUCAGGAAACGGUAACACCACAAUUUCUCCAAACAAAUCAUUCCGCAAAUCAAACGGCAAUAGCUCACCCUCCCCUUCCAUGUACAACUUCCCACUAAUAUCAGGACCACAGAAUCUCUUCAGCUUAUGCCAAAAAGACAUUUUAAUAGUAUCCGGAGUACGAAUCAUUUUCCAGGUAUCAGCAUUUGCGGAAUACAACUGUGCUUCUGAGAAGUUACCCAUGUUAAUAAUAGAACCCCAUGUGUUACGGACAACCUUUGUUACAAUCCUAAGAAUCUUGUAGUCAUUUCCAACAGAAUCAAACCCAAACCCUAGACAAACCCCGACUUGAUUGAUUUCAUAGUUGGGGGCAUAAAGCAUCUUAUACUGUCUAGUACAUGGAUUCCAAAUACAAAUAUCAUAGCUACUUUCAUUGGAAAGACAAACAAGACCAUUACAAGAACGCAUGUAAUAAACCAUACCCUCAAGACGUGAUGGCAAUUUAAGCUCAACUGAUUCUUCAACAGUGUCCAUGGAGAAAACCCUCCAAUAAUAAGAGGCUUUGAGCACGGAUGCUUGUUUGUUCCUGGAAUUGGCAAGGUGGGCUUCAACAAACUGUGGGCUUGUUAUGAUGGACAGCCAGGUUUUGCAGACUGAUUUGAAGCGGAGAAGUGAUAUUACAGGAAGAUGGGAAAGUAUGAGAAAAACCAUCUCUUCGGAGAAAUAAUUAGUCGCCAUUGAGCCCUAGGAUGUUGUGUGUAUUAUAUAACAUUCAAAUGUGCAUCAGAAAGAUAAACAAGACCAUUACAAGAAUGAAAAUAACGAACCAUACUCUUACAGCAUGAUGACAAUUUGAACACUAUUAACGGCCGGUGUACUUAUUUUCUCUUGGAAUUAAGGUGGACUUCAACAAACUGAGGGUUUGUUAUAUAUAAAGAAUAGAUAGGUUUUACAAACUCAAAGCUGAAGGUGAUAUCACAAGAAGAUAUGAAUGUCGAAUAUUAUUUCUUCACAUAAAUAAUAGAUAGAUCUUUUACUCCUUAUUCAGCUGUAAUGAUGAUGAUAAAGUUGCGUUUUAGGGUUCCCGUUAUCGAACCCUAAUAUAUAUAUCCGUUGUAUUUAUUCUUACAAAUUCUGUAAAUUAUUUUAAGCUUUCUUUUCAAAAGGUUUAUCAAAGAGUUUAAAAUUAUUAAGAAAAUUAUAUACAAAAAUUUCAACCUAUUUUACAACAAAGCAGGGUGUACUUCGUAGACUCAAUGACAAGGCAUUAGACUAACCCCCUUGUGCUCUCUACAUUACACAAAUUUACGAAACAAACAAGCUGGUCCUAUUAUAAACACAUUUGCAGCAAUUAUGCUGGACUCUUCCUUUCCCAGAUAUGACCCUGCAAAAGAUUACAAGAAUGUCAGUCUAAGAAUAUCUGAUAACAUUUGGAAAAAAUGAACUCGAAAAGAAAACAAACGAUAAUUCUAUGGAAUUGAGCAUUCUUUCUUUCACAAUAUCAAAGUUACUUACCACUUCACGCUUGUGAUUCAAACCCCUCAAGAGAGACAAGGCUCUCAGUGAACUUGGCAACCGACUUGACAUCGGUGAGAUGAGCGGGGAAAGGAAGCUUCUUAGUGGUUUUCUUCUUGUAGUUGUAAAAUUUGUAUCCAAAAAUAAAAUUAAGUCCAAGAAAGUGUUGGGCGCCCAAAUAAAGAUACAUCCGAUCCAACUCUAAAUCCGUUUCAAGAUUGAACUUUUUAAUCCACAAGCCAGCAUCAUCUAACAUCCAAAGACUAAGGACUGAUUCAUCCCCAGCUGCAGAUUCAUAUACCAUAGCCAGAGAACCUUCAAAAUCCAAAAUUUUGGACUUCUUUAUCCUUUUCUGUUCCACGUUAUAAUCAAGAAACGGUAAUACUACAAGUUCUCCAAACACAUCGUUGCGCAAAUCAAACGGCAAUAGCCCACCGUCACCUUCCAAAUACAACUUCCCACUAAUAUCAGGACCACAGGAUCUCUUCAGCCUAUUCCAAAAAGAUAUUCUAAUAGUAUCCGGAAUACGAAUCUUUUUCCAAGUAUCAGCCUUUGCGGAAUACAACUGUGCUUCUGGUUUAAGAUUCAUGCUAACAAUAAAACCUCGUAAGUCACGGACAACCUUUGUUACAAUCCAAAGAAUCUUGUAGUCGUUUCCAAUAGAAUCAAAACCAAACCCUAGACAAUGCCUUACACCAAAUGCAUAGUUGGGCACAGAAAGCAUCUUAUACUGUCUAGUACACGGAUUCCAAAUACAUAUACUAUCAUAACAAUCAUUAGAAAGACAAACAAGACCAUUACAAGAACGCAUGUAACGAACCUUACCCUCCCAAUGUGAUGGCAGUUUAAGCUCAACUGAAUCUUCCACAGUGUCCAUGGAGAGAACCCUCCAAUCAUAAGAGGCUUUGAGCACAGAUGCUUGUUUCUUCUAGGAAUUAGCCAGCUGGGCUUUAACAAACUGUGGGCUUUCUAUGAUAGAUAGCCAGGUUUUGCACACAGAUUUGCAGCGUAGAAGUGAUAUUACAGGAAGAUAGGAAAGUAUGAGGAACACCAUCUCUUCGGAUAAAUAAUUAUUACAUCUUUUAGUGGCCAUUGAGCACAAGAAAUGAUUAUGAGAAUAAUAAAGUUGCGUUUUGGUGUUCAGAUAGAGGUGGUAAGAAGAGGGGUGCGAGACUAGGCAUUCUGAACCCUAUUAUAUAUAUACCCGCUGUACCCUACACAGCGAACAGACGCCUCCCUCUAUUUCUUCACUUCGCGACUCUUCGCGUAAAUUCUUUUUCUUUAUCAGGGAAAACGUCAUCAAUCUGCCUAAACAAAUCUGCGGGAAUAAUAAUUUUUGCCAUAACAAGAAUUUAUUUCUAAAAAAGUUUUAAAUUACUAAUUCUGCCGGUUAAAUAUUCUUUUUCAAAUUUUCUUUUUAUGAAUUAAAAUAUUAUACUUAUAAUUUUAUUCACAAAAGUAAAAAUUUCAAAUAGGUGAUUAAAUUACUUAAAAGUACAUGAAAAAAAGUUAGGAGACUAACAUACCCACAAAAAGAAUAAUUAAUAUUUGGUCACAUUUCUUUGAUUAGAUAUAUUUUUUGAAAAUGUGAAAUAAUUAGAGCAUGUAUCAAUUCAUAGUAGAAUAUCUUAAUGGUAUUUGAUAAAAUAAUGAAGUCUUAAAUAUAAAAACAAUUUUUACAUUAAUUUCUUGAAAUAAUUAAGUAAAGUAUUAUGUUUAUUAUAAUUCCUGAAAAUUUAAUAUUAAUGUUAUUGAUAUCGAGUAAGCAUUAUUCUGAUUGGACAAUUUUUUUUUAAAAAAAAUCAGUUCAAGGAUCAAUUCAAAAAAACAUAUGUUAUUUUACCAUCAUAACUUGUUUUAAGAUUAUAAACAAUAAGAUAAUUAAUUCUUUUAGAGUGUAAAAGAAUUGGGGCGUACCUUCAAAAAUAAAAAUCUCCUGCAAAUUCCUUUCAAAAAUAUGUUUUUAGAUCAAUUGAACUUUAAAAAUUACAAUUUAAAACUUCUCCGAUCUAAUAUGCAACUCCAUUUUUAUUAUAUUUUUCUCAAUUGAUUUGAGAAGUAAUUCCCUUUUGUAAAUCGUAACUUUCAAAAAUGAAACUUAAAAACAGAAAUUUGAAUAUAUAUUUCAGAAAACCAUUUUUUCGAAACCAAGUUAAAAGUGUAGGGUGUUUCUUUAUAAUUUCCCUAAAUAAUACUGUCAAACAAGCCCGAAAUCCGUUUGCUUGCUUUGGAUAGCAUUUUCAAGUCAAAUAAUUAAACGAAUGGGAAAAGUCAUAUCUAGAAGCACAUAAGCAACUAUAUAUAUUCAAGCUUCACUACCAUAAAAUCCACAGCAUGCAGAUGAAAAAGGAGAAGCAACUUUUACCUAUCCGUCUAAACAUAAUAAUUUUUAGCAACCAACAAAUCCAUCCAUUAUACCUAGAACCUAAACUUACAAAGCAGGGUGUACUUGGUACUCAAUGACAAGGCAUUAGACUAAAUUCACUUGUGCCAUCUACAUGCACAAUUUACAAAACAAACAAGCUGGUCCAGUUAUAAACACAUUUGCCACAAUUCUGCCCGACUCUUCCUUUCCCUUAAAUGACC